RNAcentral lists this transfer RNA (68 nucleotides) under Trichiosoma anthracinum. RNAcentral describes it as "tRNA-Trp". The record is from RNAcentral. Lineage: Eukaryota; Metazoa; Arthropoda; Insecta; Hymenoptera; Cimbicidae.
AAGAUUUUAAGUUAAUUUAAAACUAAAAGCCUUCAAAGCUUAAAAUAAAAAAAAAUUUUUAAAUCUUA